UACAGAGGUCUCAAGCGUUGUUCGGAUUCAUUGGGCGUAAAGGGUGCGUAGGUGGCGCCGUAAGUCGGGUGUGAAAUUUCGGAGCUUAACUCCGAAACUGCAUUCGAUACUGCGGUGCUUGAGGACUGGAGAGGAGACUGGAAUUCAUGGUGUAGCAGUGAAAUGCGUAGAGAUCAUGAGGAAGACCAGUGGCGAAGGCGGGUCUCUGGACAGUUCCUGACAUGAGGCACGAAGGCCAGGGGAGCAAACGGG
This 252-nucleotide ribosomal RNA is filed under the name uncultured bacterium. Its description in RNAcentral is "partial 16S ribosomal RNA". It matches the Rfam family "Bacterial small subunit ribosomal RNA", at positions 524 to 776 of the family's 1533-position model. The record is from RNAcentral.